This 76-nucleotide microRNA precursor is filed under the name Eptesicus fuscus (big brown bat). Its description in RNAcentral is "microRNA efu-mir-9235a precursor". It matches the Rfam family "mir-9235 microRNA precursor family". The record is from miRBase by way of RNAcentral. Lineage: Eukaryota; Metazoa; Chordata; Mammalia; Chiroptera; Vespertilionidae.
AGUUGUAAUUUUGAUGUGGUUGUGGGAGGCGGCGAGAACGGCCGUUUACCUAUGCCACCAUCUUGGUUCUCUCGAU